AUGGCCUCCAACCAGAACCAGGCGAGCUACAUGGCCGGCGAGACCAAGGCCCGCACCGAGGAGAAGACCGGGCAGAUGAUGGACAAGGCGGGCCAGGCCACGGAGGCCACCAAGCAGAAGGCCGGCGAGACGGCCGAGGCCACCAAGCAGAAGGCCGGCGAGGCCAAGGACAAGACGGCCCAGACGGCUCAGGCGGCCAAGGACCGCGCCGCCGAGAGCAAGGACCAGACCGGCAGCUUCCUCGGCGAGAAGACUGAGGCGGCCAAGCAGAAGGCGUCGGAGACGGCGCAGUACGCGCAGGAUAGGUCCUCCGACGCCGCGCAGUACACCAAGGAAUCCGCCGUUGCCGGCAAGGACAAAACCGGCAGCGUGCUCCAGCAGGCCGGCGAGACGGUGGUGAGCGCGGUGGUGGGCGCCAAGGACGCGGUGGCGAACACGCUGGGCAUGGGCGGUGACAACACCACCAAGGACACCACCACCAGGAAUCACUAG
This 492-nucleotide ribosomal RNA is filed under the name Triticum aestivum (bread wheat). RNAcentral's name for it is "partial small subunit ribosomal RNA". The record is from RNAcentral. Lineage: Eukaryota; Viridiplantae; Streptophyta; Magnoliopsida; Poales; Poaceae.